GGGGAUUUAGCUCAGCAGCAUAGCACCUGCCUGGCAAGCAGGAGGUCUUGACUUUCAUCCCCG
Molecule: transfer RNA, 63 nt
Filed under: Heterocephalus glaber (naked mole-rat)
Lineage: Eukaryota; Metazoa; Chordata; Mammalia; Rodentia; Bathyergidae
Rfam family: tRNA
About the family: Transfer RNA (tRNA) molecules are approximately 80 nucleotides in length. Their secondary structure includes four short double-helical elements and three loops (D, anti-codon, and T loops).
Source: Rfam by way of RNAcentral